This 331-nucleotide ribosomal RNA is filed under the name uncultured eukaryote. RNAcentral's name for it is "partial 18S ribosomal RNA". It matches the Rfam family "Eukaryotic small subunit ribosomal RNA", at positions 1470 to 1796 of the family's 1831-position model. The record is from RNAcentral.
CCCCUAGACGUUCUGGGCUGCACGCGCGCUACAAUAAUACGCACAGCGAGUAUCACCGAGCUCGAAAGGGCAAGGUAAACAAUAGAAAAGGUACUGUAAUGGUUAUAGAUCCUUGUAAUUAUUGAUCUUCAACGAGGAAUUCCUAGUAAGUAUGUGUCAUCAUCACGCACUGAUUACGUCCCUGCCCUUUGUACACACCGCCCGUCGCUACUGCCAACUGAGAUGGGUCCUGAAUUGUUAGGAACGCCCGUCAAGGGGCCUACCCGGUCCCUAGUGCGGUGACGAGAAUAACUGUAAAUGGCAUAUCUUGUAGGGAGUAAAAGUCGUAACA